RNAcentral lists this small RNA (2052 nucleotides) under Drosophila pseudoobscura pseudoobscura. RNAcentral's name for it is "GA30591". The record is from RNAcentral. Lineage: Eukaryota; Metazoa; Arthropoda; Insecta; Diptera; Drosophilidae.
CUAAACGCUUCGAAAUAAAUAUCAACCAAAAGUGUAUUUUAAACAGGAAAUAUAUUAAUAUGCUGUACGAGUAUCAACUUAUGAAGCUGGCCGCCGCUUUCAUUAGAUCCAGAGGAUGAACCUAGUUCAGAACUUGUCUGGAUUGAAAACUGACACGCCAUCAAUAAAAUAAUGUUCUCGGAUCGAUAUGAGCAUCUGGAACAGAAGACGGAUGGAUGGAUGGACGGAUGGAUCGAAAAUUAACUAUAUGGGAAAAAUAAUAUUUUAAGAAACAUUAUUGAAUAUUUAUAAUAACUCUAGUAUCAAUGGUGUAUACGAGUAUGCAUUAGACAUGAAAAGAGUAAACACCAUAUUUUCUUGUAGGUUUAUGCUUCAUGAGUCAACAGUAUUCAUAAAAACACAGCUACACUCAUACAUCUUUAAAGCUUUCGAUCAUUACGAAUCCUUUCUUCAGUCAGAUCCGGAUCACCCCGAACCGAGUGCGAGCACUACGGAUACUCAUGCAACAUACUCAAUGUAAAGUGAACUUUUCGGAUCUGCCACAGUAAAAAUGACGAUACCUGCUUCGGGCAGUCCGUUUUGGUCGUGCGAUUCGAUAUAAUGAGAAAUUUGAGUCGCUGAUUUGAACUGACCGAACGUAGCGAGUACCGAGUCAAUCCCACCGACUCGACUCGGUUGCGUUUUCAUGCGGGGCUCUCUGUACAUGUGAAGGCUCUGCACUAUUGAGCAGGAGACCUCAACAUUUUGAGGAACAGGGUUCUUUGGUUCUACCAUAUCAACUGGCCGGUCCAAAGAUCCAAAGAUAUAUGUAUGUAUGCCAGGUCAAAGUGCAACAAGGCCUUACAAUAAUAAUAAUAAUAAUAAUAAUAAUACAAAUGUACAUAUGUAGUGUAGUAUGUAGUGUACUCUUAAGUGGAAUCUCGAAGAUUCUGGUGCAUUUUAAAGAUUGUAACUUAUUAAAGUUUUUAAUAUUUCUGUUGUUGUGGGGGGCUGGGCUAUUAUUUGCGCUGAGAAUUCUCAGACAGACCAGCUAACAGCCUAUCCAUGCACCAUUCGCUGUUGACCAAAAAACGUUUUUGUCAGAGAUGUAUAGGUAUCACCAGAUAUCUGUUUUUCAAUCUCCCGAUACUGUCAUUUUCAUUCCACGAGCUUCCUUGAGUAUCGCAAUUUCUUCUACCUUUAAUUAUACGUCAAUAACAAAAAAAAAGAAAACGGAACACUUAUAGUAAUGCAUGUCACAGUAUCAAGGUAUCUUACUAUCUACCGUCCACUGUAAUCAAAACUAGAAUCAGCAGAAGACCUAACUCGUUCGAUUAAGUUCAUCUUGUUGAGAAGUUUAACUGAUAAGUAAUUAUGCAGUAGUACUUGUGAUUAUCAAAUCAAUGAAGAGAUUCAAAUGGAGAAGUAAUAUUUGGACGUUGAUAUGCAAUAACUGCACCACCAAGUGGGCCAUGAGACACCAAGCCAAGGCCUGUUACGUGCGGAUCACAGGCAGAGACGCAGCCCUGCGCCUGCCCAGCCGACCGGGGGCCCUGCCGCAGGAUCGCUUACAUGCAGGAAAGAUAGAUGUUAGGCUAAUAUUCGAGUAAUAUUAGAACUAAACUGACUAAAGGAGAUAAGCAUGCAUUUAAAAUGGAAAACUAAUACUGGUAUGCUAGUAUCAGUAAUUUAAGAAGAAGAAGGGAAUUAAUAGUAUAUUUAAUAUACCAAGCGAAAGGGACAACGUUGUAUACAUAGUUUCUAGUGGAUAUUAUAGUAAUCGUGAAGUUUAUGCGGACCAAUAAGACGAUUAAUUAAGAAUGCAGGAUUAUUGAGAGCAAUCCAUUCUGAUAAGAUGGCAAUCCGUCACUUGCAUCCCAGUUAAGGCCGCGCAGGUCAAAUAGUUUUUUUUUUUUUGGUUUUGACCGCUCUUACAUGUAUUGGAUGAGUUUUAUAGUUACUAAGAAUUAUUCUAAACUAAUGCGUAAUUCGCCACAAUCAAUGACAUAACAAAUUUCCUAUAAUAACAAUGCGAGUAUGAUGUCGGUCACAUUUGGCCAAGAUAUAGUCUAA